Molecule: ribosomal RNA, 210 nt
Filed under: uncultured bacterium
Lineage: Bacteria
Description: partial 16S ribosomal RNA
Rfam family: Bacterial small subunit ribosomal RNA
Source: RNAcentral
AGUUCGGAUUGCAGGCUGCAACCCGCCUGCAUGAAGUUGGAAUCGCUAGUAAUCGCGGAUCAGCAUGCCGCGGUGAAUACGUUCCCGGGCCUUGUACACACCGCCCGUCACACCAUGAGAGUCGGGAACACCCGAAGUCCGUAGCCUAACCGCAAGGGGGCGCGGCCGAAGGUGGGUUCGAUAAUUGGGGUGAAGUCGUAACAAGGUACC